UACGUAGGUGGCAAGCGUUAUCCGGAAUUAUUGGGUGUAAAGCGUUCGUAGGCUUUUUAAAAGGUCUCUGAUUAAAUAUGUAAGCUCAACUUACAUCAGGUUAGAGAAACCAUUAGAAUAGAAGGGUAUCGAGGUAAGUGGAAUUUGUGGUGUAGCAGUGAAAUGCGUUGAUAUCACAAGGAACACCAAUGGCGAAGGCAGCUUACUAGGUACAACUUGACGCUGAGGAACGAAAGCGUGGGUAG
RNAcentral lists this ribosomal RNA (245 nucleotides) under uncultured bacterium. Its description in RNAcentral is "partial 16S ribosomal RNA". It matches the Rfam family "Bacterial small subunit ribosomal RNA", at positions 524 to 768 of the family's 1533-position model. The record is from RNAcentral.